CUACCGCUAUUGGAGUCCGAUUAAGACAUGCGAGUCGAGAGCUUUCGGAGCUCGGCAUACUGCUCAGUAACACGUGGGUAACCUGCCCUAUGCUGGGGGAUAACCUCGGGAAACUGAGAACAAUACCCCAUAGUCCACUACGCCUGGAACGGUGAGUGGAUGAAAGCCCCGGCGGCAUAGGAUGGGCCUGCGGCGUAUCAGGUUGUAGGGGGUGUAAUGUACCCUCUAGCCUUCGACGCGUACGGGUUGUGAGAGCAAUAGCCCGGAGAUGGAUUCUGAGACAAGAAUCCAGGUCCUACGGGACGCAGCAGUCGCGAAACCUUGACAAUGCGGGAAACCGUGAUCAGGGGACUCCAAGUGCCAGGAGUAAGAUCCUGUGCUUUUCAUCUCUCUUCAAAGGAUUUGGAAUAAGAGGUGGGUAAGGACGGUGCCAGCCGCCGCGGUAAUACCGGCGCCUCAAGUGGUAGUCGAUUUUAUUGGGCCUAAAACGUCCGUCGCCGGUCUGGUGCAUUCGUGGGUAAAUCAACCCGCUCAACGGGUUGAAUUCUGCGAGCACGGCCAGACUAGGGACCGGGAGAGGUGUAGGGUACGCUCGGGGUAGGGGUAAAAUCCUGUCAUCCCGAGCGGACCACCUGUUGCGAAGGCGCUACACUAGAACGGAUCCGACGGUCAGGGACGAAGCCUAGGGGCACGAACCGGAUUAGAUACCCGGGUAGUCCUAGGUGUAAACGCUGUGGACUUGGUGUUGGAAGCUCCCAGAGGGCUUUCAGUGCCCGUAGCGAA
Molecule: ribosomal RNA, 783 nt
Filed under: uncultured marine archaeon
Lineage: Archaea
Description: bacterial SSU rRNA
Rfam family: Archaeal small subunit ribosomal RNA
Source: RNAcentral